AGAGUUGAUCCUGGCUCGAGACGAACGCUGGCGGCGUGCUUAACACAUGCAAGUGGUGCGACGAACCAGGGGCUUGCCCUGGGGCGAAAGCCGCGAACGGGUGAGUAACACGUGAGUAACCUGCCCCGAUGACCGGGACAACCCGAGGAAACUCGGGCUAAUACCGGAUGUGGCGCACAGAUAUAAGCCUGUGCGCUAAAGGAAGCUUCGGCCUCCGCAUUGGAGGGGCUCGCGGCCCAUUAGCUUGUUGGUGGGGUAACGGCCUACCAAGGCAACGAUGGGUAGCUGGUCUGAGAGGACGAUCAGCCACACUGGGACUGAGACACGGCCCAGACUCCUACGGGAGGCAGCAGUGGGGAAUCUUGCGCAAUGCGCGAAAGCGUGACGCAGCAACGCCGCGUGGGGGAAGACGGCCUUCGGGUUGUAAACCCCUUUCAGGAGGGACGAAGGUUCGCCGGUGAAUAGCCGUGCGGAUUGACGGUACCUCCAGAAGAAGCUCCGGCUAACUACGUG
Molecule: ribosomal RNA, 513 nt
Filed under: uncultured Solirubrobacterales bacterium
Lineage: Bacteria; Bacillati; Actinomycetota; Thermoleophilia; Solirubrobacterales
Description: bacterial SSU rRNA
Rfam family: Bacterial small subunit ribosomal RNA
Source: RNAcentral